AUGACUAAACCUAAAUGCAGAGGAGGGCUGGGUUUACGUGACUUCCGCCUUUUUAACCAAGCGUUGCUUGCGCGACAAGCUUGGCGCCUUUUAACAAAACCGAUGUCCCUAUGCGCGAAGGUUUUAAAAGCUAAAUAUUAUCCUAAUGGCUGCCUCGAGGAUACUAUUUUUGCAGGAAAUGCAUCUUCGACAUGGCAUUUUUGGUCAUGGACUAGACCUUCUCAAGAAGGGCUUGGUCUGGCGUAUUGGUAA
RNAcentral lists this ribosomal RNA (252 nucleotides) under Triticum aestivum (bread wheat). RNAcentral's name for it is "partial small subunit ribosomal RNA". The record is from RNAcentral. Lineage: Eukaryota; Viridiplantae; Streptophyta; Magnoliopsida; Poales; Poaceae.